GAUGAAGAACGUAGCGAAAUGCGAUAAGUAAUGUGAAUUGCAGAAUUCAGUGAAUCAUCGAAUCUUUGAACGCACAUUGCGCCCGCCAGUAUUCUGGCGGGCAUGCCUGUUCGAGCGUCAUUUCAACCCUCAAGCCCUCGGGUUUGGUGUUGGGGAUCGGCGAGCCUUUCUGGCAAGCCGGCCCCGAAAUCUAGUGGCGGUCUCGCUGCAGCCUCCAUUGCGUAGUAGUAAAACCCUCGCAACUGGAACGCGGCGCGGCCAAGCCGUUAAACCCCCAACUUCUGAAUGUUGACCUCGGAUCAGGUAGGAAGACCCGCUGAACUUAAGCAUAUCAAUAAGCGGAGGA
Molecule: unclassified non-coding RNA, 346 nt
Filed under: soil metagenome
Description: partial contains 5.8S ribosomal RNA, internal transcribed spacer 2, and large subunit ribosomal RNA
Rfam family: 5.8S ribosomal RNA (bases 1-120)
Source: RNAcentral